AAUUUAAAUAGCUUAAAUUAAAGCCUAAUAUUGAAAAUAUUAAAAUGAUUUUUAAAUCUUUAAAU
RNAcentral lists this transfer RNA (65 nucleotides) under Binodoxys acalephae. RNAcentral's name for it is "tRNA-Phe". Lineage: Eukaryota; Metazoa; Arthropoda; Insecta; Hymenoptera; Braconidae. The record is from RNAcentral.